UACGAAGGGUGCAAACGUUGCUCGGAAUUAUUGGGCGUAAAGCGCACGUAGGCGGCUUUGCAAGGCCCAUGUGAAAGCCCACGGCUUAACCGUGGAAGUGCAUGGGAAACUGCAGAGCUUGAGUACUUAAGAGGAUCGCGGAAUUCCCGGUGUAGAGGUGAAAUUCGUAGAUAUCGGGAGGAACACCAGUGGCGAAGGCGGCCUUCUGGACAGCGACUGACGCUGAGACGCGAAAGCGUGGGGAGCAAACAGG
This 253-nucleotide ribosomal RNA is filed under the name uncultured bacterium. RNAcentral's name for it is "partial 16S ribosomal RNA". It matches the Rfam family "Bacterial small subunit ribosomal RNA", at positions 524 to 776 of the family's 1533-position model. The record is from RNAcentral.